GACGAACGCUGGCGGCGUGCUUAACACAUGCAAGUCGAACGGAAAGGCCCUGCUUUUGUGGGGUGCUCGUGUGGCGAAGGGGUGAGUAACACGUGAGUAACCUGCCCUUGACUUUGGGAUAACUUCAGGAAACUGGGGCUAAUAUCGGAUAGGAGCUCCUGCUGCAUGGUGGGGGUUGGAAAGUUUCGGCGGUUGGGGAUGGACUCGCGGCUUAUCAGCUUGUUGGUGGGGUAGUGGCUUACGAAGGCUUUGACGGGUAGCCGGCCUGAGAGGGUGACCGGCCACAUUGGGCCUGAGAUACGGACCAGAAUCCUACGGGAGGCAGCAGUGGGGAAUCUUGCACAAUGGGCGGAAGCCUGAUGCAGCAACGCCGCGUGCGGGAUGACGGCCUACGGGUUGUGAACCGCUUUCGCAUGUGACGAAGCGUGAGUGACGGUAAUGGGUAAAAAAGCACCGGCUAACUACGUG
This 468-nucleotide ribosomal RNA is filed under the name uncultured bacterium. RNAcentral's name for it is "partial 16S ribosomal RNA". It matches the Rfam family "Bacterial small subunit ribosomal RNA", at positions 28 to 507 of the family's 1533-position model. The record is from RNAcentral.